RNAcentral lists this ribosomal RNA (456 nucleotides) under uncultured bacterium. Its description in RNAcentral is "bacterial SSU rRNA". It matches the Rfam family "Bacterial small subunit ribosomal RNA", at positions 32 to 507 of the family's 1533-position model. The record is from RNAcentral.
AUGACGCUGGCGGCGUGCUUAACACAUGCAAGUCGAACGGACCAUAUUCGUAUGGUUAGUGGCAGACGGGUGCGUAACACGUGGGCAACCUGCCCUUAACCGGGGGAUAACAUUGUGAAAACAGUGCUAAUACCGCAUAACAGAGUAUCGGGCAUCCGAUAUUUUUAAAAGGAGCAAUCCGGUUUAGGAUGGGCCCGCGUCCAAUUAGCUAGUUGGUGAGGUAACGGCUCACCAAGGCUACGAUUGGUAGCCGAACUGAGAGGUUGAUCGGCCACAUUGGGACUGAGACACGGCCCAGACUCCUACGGGAGGCAGCAGUGGGGAAUAUUGGGCAAUGGGCGAAAGCCUGACCCAGCGACGCCGCGUGAAGGAUGAAGGUCUUCGGAUUGUAAACUUCUUUGAUCAGGGAAGAAAGAAAUGACGGUACCUGAAGAACAAGCCACGGCUAACUACGUG